AAAACUCCUCUUUCUUGUCUCUCUAAAUCGCCACCGCCCACCACCGUCGGAUCGCCUCACUGCGGCAGUAUUCUCCAAAAUCGGCAAAGUUCAUACAAUACACUCAUCACCUCACCCUCAUCAUUAAUCCUCCACCAAUUUUUCCCAAAACUUUACCUAAUUCAUCCAAUUGCAGAUCUAAAAAGAAGUGAAAACCCUAGUUUUUUUUCCUGUUCGAUUUCUUGGAUGUUUUAAGAUUCGAUUCGACCAAAACCUGCUAGUUGAUUGUUCUCAGCAAGAACAAUUGCCUAGAAUUAUUUUUUGAUUCAUUUCGAUCAAGACUCGGAUUUGUCAAGCCAACCAGAUUUGCGGAGGGGAAUGCACAAACAUUCGUUAGUUGAUCUCUGUUCCCUUAUCUCAGGUUCAAUUAGGUUUUUUUAAAAUUAAUUUGUCUUGAUUACUGUUUCUCUUUCUUCUUCUUUCGAAAUUGUUUUGUUUUGGGUUUUUGUUUGGCCUGGGGUUUGCUUUGCAUGCAGACAGGCUCGUUAGUACAAAGGCCCAAGGGAAAUAUAGGGUUUCAGUUGUUUAGAGGAUACAAAUCCCAGCUUGGGUUGGAAGUAAAUAGCAUCUGUUUCGAGGGUAUUUAGGGAAAUUGAGUAGAAAGAAUCUUGGCUAACUGUCUAGGAAGCUGCUAGGAAGGUGGGAAUUGGGUAAUUUGCUAAAAAAGGUUCAAAGGAUAGGGCCUGAAAUGAAAAAGAGAAAAUUGGGGAAGGGGUAAUUGUAAAAGUUUAAAAAUUAAUUCUGUUGCCCUAAAGCUUGCUAUAAGAGGAUCAUUUUCCCAAUAUUUAAGGGGGAGGAAGAAUAAAAACAAUAGAAAUGGCUGAAAGAUUUCAAGUACUAUUCCCUGCACCUAGAACACUGAAAGAAUACACACUGAUAGAGUUUCAAAAUUAGGGAGAAAAACACAAAAAAAAAUCUCAAAUACUGUUCCAUUGCAGUUGGUUUUCAUCUUUCUUGGGUUGUUUUUUCUUUAAAAAGCUUCAGUACAUUGCUAUUUUUUGGGGGUUUCAAAACAUGGUUAAAGCUGGUUGAUAGUUGUUGCUUAUUGCUGUUUUAAAGCUCUGUUGAUAUUACUAUUUUCUUGCUGAAGUUCUGUGGUUGUUUUUGGUUUGUAUCCAGGUAUGUAAGCUGAAUCCCUGUGGCCAUGUGAAUAAUACACUUGAAGUUUUUAGAGUUUGUUGGCUGUUGUCAUUCAGUCGAUGCUUGUUUGCUGCUGGAGACUGAUUCUAUGAUGUUAAAAUCCAUUGCAUUCUGUUUCCUUCCCUUCCCCAUUUUGUUUUUUAGUAUGUUGAAAAUUGGCUAAAAUUUGUACGUAAUAGAUGUGUGUUUUGAGCUUGAACUGUAUUGUAAGGUGUGUGGGAGGUAUUUGUGCCUCUAAAAUUACUUUGGGAGAUUUGUUUAAAGCUUCAGUCUACUGUAGUAGUAUGGUUUAUUUUAGGAUGUGUUUGAGGGCUAUGUGUUCAAUGGAAAAUGUUCUUUGGAAGGGUUGAAAGUUUACUACUGUGGGGUAUGUGAAAUUUGGCUCUAACAGGUUUAAAAUACACUGUUCAGCAUGUGUAUAUUUUUAGGGCUUUAAUUUGCUAGAACAAAUCGUGUGUGUAUUAGCAUAGUUGAUAAAUAGUUUAAUGGUUUGAGUUCAUGUGGUAGCAUUAGUAGCAGUAACAAUUCGAGUUUAUAAUAUUAUCGUUGUCGCUG
This 1734-nucleotide long non-coding RNA is filed under the name Nicotiana tabacum (common tobacco). Its description in RNAcentral is "long non-coding RNA (NTAB_LNC007296)". The record is from RNAcentral. Lineage: Eukaryota; Viridiplantae; Streptophyta; Magnoliopsida; Solanales; Solanaceae.